GGUACAGAAAAGAAUGUCACAUCUUUAAUAUAUAAUGGAGUUCUGUACAAAAUAAUUAAUUAAUUACAUCAUACGAAGACAACGAUCCAACAACCACAAUUGACUAGGAGACGACGGCCCAGAUCUCUCACGAACUCGUUGUGACAUCCUUCAUGCUUUUAUAUUGUGGUACCUGUCCUUGACCUGGAGGGUGUGAGUAUAGCAAGGGUGAGGUCACAUAAGUUCAUCGCUCAACAAGUUGUGGGGAAUAAUGUGCAUGAGCUCACUUGUAGUGGGGCUCAUGUGAAGUGUAAGGCUUACCAAAGCAGAUGGUUAAAGUUGAGCAUUGCUUUUAGAGUUGGUCAAAAUUUUAUUAGCAGUUGCUAAGUGUAAGUAGAUACCAACUCAAUUAAAUAAGAGAUCACAAUUAAUAAUAAAUCCCACAAUGCAAUGCAAAUGACAAAUUAAGUUUAGUUUCAUAAGUUAAUCAUGUGAGAGUCCGAGCUACUCAUGACCGUGAGCAUCGCUGAUAUACUAGUUUUACACACUGCAGAGGUUGCAUAUCUUUACCCACAAGUCGUGUUACCCAUUUGCCAAGGGAUCGUGACUUACCAUUCAUCUCUGCUGAGCAGACGAGGCAGGGUAGCACUACGAGGCCUUUACAAAGUUCCACUAGCUUCAGAAAACCCGCUAUGGUUUCUAAGAAGGGCAAGAUAGGAAUCCCUCGUCUGAAAAGCCAUCGCAGCAUGAUUGGCCCGAGAACCUCCCUAUACCGCAACUUCUCUACCGCCCUUGUCUCUUUCGGGUAAGGUAGUCAUACACUAGCUUUCCUAAUUAGUUACCCAAGGGCGUCCCAUACCACCCUUGUGGUAGCACUGUUUUCCUGGGUGGUCGCUCCAUGUUCCAAUUAACAUAAUGAUCUUGUCAUGAACAAUAAUAAACCAACAAUAAUAGUGAAACAUGAUCGUAAUUAAAUAUAACAUUAAUCCCAAAACCAAGUAGAGCAAUAGCAAUACUACCCAAUAGUUCAUUUGUUUCAAGGUGUAGGAUAAACAAUGCUAGGGAAAACUAUUAUGCCCCAUCAAAUUAACCUGAGCAUGUCACAAUGGUUAAUAGAGAACAUUAUUGGGUAAAGAAGAGUGAUGAAGGGCACAACUUGCCUUAUACUUGCGACAACCUGUUGUCCAUAUGCUGACCCAAAAGUUAGGCAUUGGGUUCUCGUCACCUCGCCUCUACUCGUAGCAAUACACACAAUUAAGAAAAUAAUGGAUAUGGUAACAUUUUACCAAAGCAUAUGAACAAACAACGUAAGAAUAUCCUACGCGUCUCUACGAGAUCGUAGGUUCAAGAACCAUUAAAAUCGAAGUUAAAACGAAGAAGUUAUGGAUAAAACAAUAUUUUUAGACGCAAUAAAUCUUCUAGAUGAGAUCAAACAGAUGUUGCAUUUAAACUAAAAAGGUAUUUAAUUAAAAUAUUUGAGUUGGUAUUAAUCAUUAACAAUUAUUUAUAAAAUGCGUAGGUUAGAACUAUAAAUUAGAUUAACUAGAUUAUCUAGCUAAUUAACAUUAAUUAAUUAAUUGAUAAAUUAAAACAAUGUUACUACUGCGUACGCAAAAAUUAAUAUGAACAUAACAUAACUUGAGCAGAUUAAAACAAAUUAUUUAACCUAGAAGUUAUCAUAUUUUUAAUAAAUUAGUAUGGCUGCACAGAUAUAGGUUACAUGACGGUGGGAAAAGUUUGUUUAUAAAUACAUGACCUAGUUAUUGUCAACUUAUUAUGAUUGUACUUACUGGUAAAUUUAUGUUGCAUGACAGUCUUGCAUGUAAAAGGGCAUAUGGUGGUGGUUAUCUAUUAGCUGGGAAGCGUCAAGCCUAUCAUGUAGGAAAGACCUCUAAACUAUCAACAAAUUACCUACCAACCAAGCCAUUCGAUCUCACACUGCUGGACAUCUUUAGCACCUAGCCACUAACCUCCCUUCCACAUCAUAGCCUCAAAACGACAGCGCCGGUGGAGAGCGCCUACGACGGCCUUCGAACUCUCCCAUUCUCUGCUCGCAGCGCCUCUAUCUCCUUUCGCUGCUCUCGGGUAUCACCGGCGUGAUGCUUAAGCGAGAUGGUUAAGGAGACGACGGCUUUGUAUUUAUAUCCACCGGCAGGCCCAAGCUAGGCGUGAUUCCGUUUGAUGCCUAGUUGGCCAUAUGCCGGACUCUGUGGUUCCGUUUGCGGGGAACACGACGAGUUCGUCUAGCUCUGGGGAAAUAGGAACAACUAGAUGAGGUAGAGGUGGCUGACAGCGCGGGCCGAUCCUACAACAACUCAAUCAGGAUGCGUGAAUAAAUUUGUGCCGAUGUCAUGCCUAAGUAAUGUGGAUGCAAGCAUGUCGAGUGGCCGGAAAACAAAAGAUGGGAUGGUCGUGUCGUGUGGAUGUGGAUGUAGACAUGGAAGAUGGGAUGCUCGUCCUGCUUGGUUAGUCACUCUUUUUCUAUCUAUUUUUUCUAUUUCCUUUCUAUUCCUAUUUCAUUUUGUAACUUUCAAAUUUAAUUCAAACUAGGAUUGAGAAUUCAAAAAAAAUGCAACAGUACACAAAUUACCGAGUAUGAGAUGCAAGUCAUACUUAUAUAUAUUAAUUAUUUUAUCCAGUUAAGGAAAUGCUUUUAUAUAAAUCAUACACACAAAAUAAAAAAUAAUUUCUAACAAAUAAUCUCUAAUAAGAGAUGGUUUAACUUAAUCUAUUUUUUAAAGAUAGUGUUUCUAAACACAUAAUUCAGAAAGGAAUAUUUGCAUUAAAUAAUUUGAGGAUAUUCCUAUUUUAUUUAUUAAUUUGAGUUCAACAUUAAAUUCCAGUUUAAGGUAAAAUCGAAAUUUUAAACUACUAAAACUUUAAUAUUACCAUUUAAUUAUUUUAGGAAGGGUAACUUCCAAGGUAUAAUCCUUCAUUAGGAGGCACUUUAAUUUAAUCAUUUUCACAAAAAAAUACUUAACCUAAAAUUAUGAUUUGGGGCAUUAUACAUUCUACCCCCUUAAAAGAAUCUCGACCUCGAGAUUACUAAUAAGAUGUUUAAGUAACUCACCUUUGAUUAAAUAUAAUCAGAUUAGAUGGGUUCUAGAUUAAAUUGGCAUGACUAGAUUAGACUUAUAUAAGAUCUAAUUGAUUUGGGAUAAGUCAUAGUUGUUACAUUAGGGAGAUAAGUAUACUCACCAAGACUUGAAGAAUCUACUAGGAAAGAAUCUUUUAAGACAAGAUGGAUCUAAGGUAGAUAUAUUUUAAUGGGGGAUAAUUUAAGUUUUUCUAGUUAUCUUAUACCCAUAUUUUAUACCUAAGUAUAUGCAGAUGCAAUUGGAGAUAUUACUCCACAACUCAUCAUACUCAGUCAAAGAACCAAAUCAGACAUAUAUGAUAAGAACAAGCAAUCAAACAUAUACAUAAAAAAUAUUUUUGCCAUGAUUGGGACUCCUAUUACUUAGGGUCACUUUAGGUACAUGAUUUCAAAGUGUGAAAUCCACUUCUGUCUUUAGAAGAUAAAAGAUUCUUUACAAGAUAAAAAAUUAGAAUGAUCAGAGUAAAGCAGCAAUAGAUAAGAAAAAGAUUAAGGAAAGUUUAGAAAGAAUAAGAGUAGCAAGGAAAGUAGGUAAGCGUUUUUCUAGUUCUAUCUAGCUUAUGUCCUACAGUCAACAUUCCUCUCAUACCACUUCUGUCACACCCAGGUUUUAGGGGCACCAAACCCGGGCGCGAACUUCACCAAGUGUGCUAGGAUCAAGUCUCACACAUAUGAUGAAUUAUGGUAUAGAAAAGAAUAUCACAUCUUUAAUAUAUAAUAGAGUUCUGUACAAAAUAGUUAAAUAAUUACAUCAUACAAAGACAACGAUCCAACAACCACAGUUGACUGGGAGACGACGGCCUAGACCUCUCACAAACUCACCGCGACAUCCUUCAUGCUUCUUAUGUUGUGGUACCUAUCCUUGACCUGGGGGAUGUGACUACAACAAGGGUGAGCUACAUACGUUCAUCGCUCAACAAGUUAUGGGGAAUAAUAUGUAUGAGCUCACUUGCAGUGGGGCUGAUGUGAAGUGUAAAGCUUACCAAAGAAGAUGGUUAAAACUAAGCAUUGCUUUUAGAGUUGGUCAAAAUUUUCUUAGCAGUUACUAAGUGUAAGUAGAUACCAACCCAAUUAAAUAAGAGAUCACAAUUAAUAAUAAAUCCCACAAUGCACUGCAAAUGACAAAUUAAGUUUAAUUCCAUAAGUUAAUCAUGUGAGAGUCCGAGUUGCUCAUGACCGUGAGUACCGCUGAUAUACUAGUUUUACACUCUGCAGAGGUUGCGCAUCUUUACCCAAAAGUCGUAUUACUCAUUUGCCAAGGGAUCACAACUUUCCAUUCAUCUCUGCCGAGCAGACGAGGCAGGGAAGCACUACAAGGCCUUUACAAAGUUCCACUAGCUUCAGAAAACCCCCUACGGUUCUAAGGACGGCAAGAUAGGAAUCACUCGUCCGAAAAGCCAUUGCAGCACGAUUGACUCGAGAACCUCCCUAUACCACAGCUCUUCUACCGCCCUUGCCCCAUUAAGGUAAGGUAGUCUUCCACUAGCUUUCCAAAUUAGUCAGCCAAGGGUGUCCCAUACCACCCUUGUGGUAGCAUUGUUUUCCCGGGUGGUCACUCCAUGUUCUAAUUAACAUAAUGAUCUUGUCAUGAACAAUAAUAAACCAGCAAUAAUAGUGAAACAUGAUCAUAAUUCAAUAUAUCAUUAAUCCCAAAACCAUGUAGAGCAAUAGCAAUACUACCCAAUAGUUCAUUUGUUUGCAAGGUGUAGGAUAAAAAUGCUAGGGAAAUCUAUUAGGCCCCAUCAAAUUAACCUGAUCAUGUAAAAGUGAUUAAUAGAGAACAUUAUUGGGUAAAGAGGAGUGAUGAAGGGCACAACUUGCCUUGUACUUGUGACAACCUGUUGUUCAUAUGCUGACCCAAAAGUUGGGCAUCGGGUUCUCGUCACCUUGCCUCUACUCGUAGCAAUACAUACAAUCAAGCAAAUAAUAGAUAUGGUAACAUUAUACCAAAGAAUAUGAACAAACAACGUAAGAAUAUCUUACGCGUUGCUACGAGAUCGUAGGUUCAAGAACCAUUAAAAUCGAAGUUAAUACGAAGAAGUUAUGGAUAAAACAAUAUUUUUAGGCGCAAUAAAUCUACUAGAUGGGAUCUAACAGAUAUUGCAUUUAAACUAAGGAGGUAUUAAAUUAAAAUAUUUGAGUUGGUAUUAAUCAUUAACAAUUAUUUAUAAAAUUCAUAAGUUAGAACUAUAAAUUAUGUUAACUAGAUUAUCUAGCUAAUUAACAUUAAUUAAUUAAUUAAUUAAAACAAUGUUAUUACUCCGUACACAAAAAUUAAUAUGAACCUAACACAACUUGAACAGAUUAAAAUAAAUUAUUUAACCUAGAAGAUAUCACAUUUUUAAUAAAUAAGUAGAGUGGCACAAAAAUAUGUUAUAUGACAUUGGGAAAAGUUUGUUUACAAAUGCAUGACAUAGUUAUUGCCAACUUACCAUGAUUGUACCUACUAUUAAAUUCAUGUUGCAUGACAGUCUUGCAUGUAAAGGGUAUAUGGUCGUGGUUAUCUAUUAAUUGGGAAAUGUCAAGCCUAUCAUGCGGGAAAGACCUCUAAACUAUCAACAAAUUACCUUCCAACCAAGCCAUUCGAUCUCACGCUGAUGGACAUCUUUAGCACCUAGCCACGAACCUCCAUGCCACAUCGUAGGAUCAAAACCACAGCGCCGGUGGAGAACUCCUACGACGGCCUUCGAGCUCUCCCAUUCUCUGCUCGCAGCGGUUCUAUCUCUCUUCUUUCGCUGCUCUCGGGUAUCACCGGCAUGAU
This 5837-nucleotide long non-coding RNA is filed under the name Zea mays. RNAcentral describes it as "long non-coding RNA (ZMAY_LNC001609)". The record is from RNAcentral. Lineage: Eukaryota; Viridiplantae; Streptophyta; Magnoliopsida; Poales; Poaceae.